UUUUAUGAGAGUUUGAUCCUGGCUCAGGACGAACGCUGGCGGCGUGCCUAAUACAUGCAAGUCGUACGCUUCUUUUUCCACCGGAGCUUGCUCCACCGGAAAAAGAAGAGUGGCGAACGGGUGAGUAACACGUGGGUAACCUGCCCAUCAGAAGGGGAUAACACUUGGAAACAGGUGCUAAUACCGUAUAACAAUCGAAACCGCAUGGUUUUGAUUUGAAAGGCGCUUUCGGGUGUCGCUGAUGGAUGGACCCGCGGUGCAUUAGCUAGUUGGUGAGGUAACGGCUCACCAAGGCCACGAUGCAUAGCCGACCUGAGAGGGUGAUCGGCCACAUUGGGACUGAGACACGGCCCAAACUCCUACGGGAGGCAGCAGUAGGGAAUCUUCGGCAAUGGACGAAAGUCUGACCGAGCAACGCCGCGUGAGUGAAGAAGGUUUUCGGAUCGUAAAACUCUGUUGUUAGAGAAGAACAAGGAUGAGAGUAACUGUUCAUCCCUUGACGGUAUCUAACCAGAAAGCCACGGCUAACUACGUGCCAGCAGCCGCGGUAAUACGUAGGUGGCAAGCGUUGUCCGGAUUUAUUGGGCGUAAAGCGAGCGCAAGCGGUUUCUUAAGUCUGAUGUGAAAGCCCCCGGCUCAACCGGGGAGGGUCAUUGGAAACUGGGAGACUUGAGUGCAGAAGAGGAGAGUGGAAUUCCAUGUGUAGCGGUGAAAUGCGUAGAUAUAUGGAGGAACACCAGUGGCGAAGGCGGCUCUCUGGUCUGUAACUGACGCUGAGGCUCGAAAGCGUGGGGAGCAAACAGGAUUAGAUACCCUGGUAGUCCACGCCGUAAACGAUGAGUGCUAAGUGUUGGAGGGUUUCCGCCCUUCAGUGCUGCAGCUAACGCAUUAAGCACUCCGCCUGGGGAGUACGACCGCAAGGUUGAAACUCAAAGGAAUUGACGGGGGCCCGCACAAGCGGUGGAGCAUGUGGUUUAAUUCGAAGCAACGCGAAGAACCUUACCAGGUCUUGACAUCCUUUGACCACUCUAGAGAUAGAGCUUCCCCUUCGGGGGCAAAGUGACAGGUGGUGCAUGGUUGUCGUCAGCUCGUGUCGUGAGAUGUUGGGUUAAGUCCCGCAACGAGCGCAACCCUUAUUGUUAGUUGCCAUCAUUCAGUUGGGCACUCUAGCAAGACUGCCGGUGACAAACCGGAGGAAGGUGGGGAUGACGUCAAAUCAUCAUGCCCCUUAUGACCUGGGCUACACACGUGCUACAAUGGGAAGUACAACGAGUCGCGAAGUCGCGAGGCUAAGCUAAUCUCUUAAAGCUUCUCUCAGUUCGGAUUGCAGGCUGCAACUCGCCUGCAUGAAGCCGGAAUCGCUAGUAAUCGCGGAUCAGCACGCCGCGGUGAAUACGUUCCCGGGCCUUGUACACACCGCCCGUCACACCACGAGAGUUUGUAACACCCGAAGUCGGUGAGGUAACCUUUUUGGAGCCAGCCGCCUAAGGUGGGAUAGAUGAUUGGGGUGAAGUCGUAACAAGGUAGCCGUAUCGGAAGGUGCGGCUGGAUCACCUCCUUUCUAAGGAA
Molecule: ribosomal RNA, 1569 nt
Filed under: Enterococcus faecium
Lineage: Bacteria; Bacillati; Bacillota; Bacilli; Lactobacillales; Enterococcaceae
Description: bacterial SSU rRNA
Rfam family: Bacterial small subunit ribosomal RNA
Source: RNAcentral